Molecule: ribosomal RNA, 429 nt
Filed under: Chloroflexota bacterium
Lineage: Bacteria; Bacillati; Chloroflexota
Description: Chloroflexi bacterium partial 16S ribosomal RNA
Rfam family: Bacterial small subunit ribosomal RNA
Source: RNAcentral
UGGGGAAUAUUGCACAAUGGGCGCAAGCCUGAUGCAGCCAUGCCGCGUGUAUGAAGAAGGCCUUCGGGUUGUAAAGUACUUUCAGCGGGGAGGAAGGGAGUAAAGUUAAUACCUUUGCUCAUUGACGUUACCCGCAGAAGAAGCACCGGCUAACUCCGUGCCAGCAGCCGCGGUAAUACGGAGGGUGCAAGCGUUAAUCGGAAUUACUGGGCGUAAAGCGCACGCAGGCGGUUUGUUAAGUCAGAUGUGAAAUCCCCGGGCUAAACCUGGGAACUGAAUCGGAUACUGGCAAGCUUGAGUCUCGUAGAGGGGGGUAGAAUUCCAGGUGUAGCGGUGAAAUGCGUAGAGAUCUGGAGGAAUACCGGUGGCGAAGGCGGCCCCCUGGACGAAGACUGACGCUCAGGUGCGAAAGCGUGGGGGGCAAACAGG